CCGGACCUGACUGCUAUCGGAUUGGUACUAAGCCAUGCGAGUCGUUGUAGCAAUACAAGGCGGACGGCUCAGUAACACGUAGUCAACCUAACCUAUGGACGUGGAUAACCUCGGGAAACUGAGAAUAAAACACGAUAGAUCAUAAUGCCUGGAAUGGCUUAUGGUUCAAACAAUUUAUUGCCAUAGGAUGGGACUGCGGCCUAUCAGCUUGUUGGUGAGGUAAUGGCCCACCAAGGCUAUAACAGGUACGGGCUCUGAGAGGAGAAGCCCGGAGAUGGGUACUGAGACACGGACCCAGGCCCUAUGGGGCGCAGCAGGCGAGAAACCUUAGCAAUGUGCGAAAGCACGACUAGGUUAAUCCGAGUGGUUCCUGCUAAAGGAACCUUUUGUCAGUCGUAAAACCACAGAUGAAUAAGGGGUGGGCAAGUCUGGUGUCAGCCGCCGCGGUAAUACCAGCACCUCGAGUGGUCAGGAGGUUUAUUGGGCCUAAAGCAUCCGUAGCCGGCUUUGCAAGUCUCCGGUUAAAUCCAACUGCUCAACAGAUGGGCCGCCGGAGAUACUACAAAGCUAGGGAGCGGGAGAGGUAGACGGUAUUCUGUGGGUAGGGGUAAAAUCCACUGAUCCAUAGAGGACCACCAGUGGCGAAGGCGGUCUACCAGAACGCGUUCGACGGUGAGGGAUGAAAGCUGGGGGAGCAAACCGGAUUAGAUACCCGGGUAGUCCCAGCUGUAAACGAUGCAAACUCGGUGAUGCGUCGGCUUAUGGCCAACGCAGUGCCGCAGGGAAGCCGUUAAGUUUGCCGCCUGGGAAGUACGGACGCAAGUCUGAAACUUAAAGGAAUUGGCGGGGGAGCACCACAAGGGGUGAAGCCUGCGGUUCAAUUGGAGUCAACGCCGGG
RNAcentral lists this ribosomal RNA (898 nucleotides) under uncultured archaeon. Its description in RNAcentral is "bacterial SSU rRNA". It matches the Rfam family "Archaeal small subunit ribosomal RNA", at positions 17 to 922 of the family's 1478-position model. The record is from RNAcentral.